UGCCAGCCGCCGCGGUAAUACGGAGGGUGCAAGCGUUGUCCGGAUUUAUUGGGUUUAAAGGGUGCGUAGGCGGAUAUAUAAGUCAGUGGUGAAAUCUUGCGGCUCAACCGUAAAACUGCCAUUGAUGCUGUAUAUCUUGAGUACGGUCGAGGUGGUUGGAAUGCGUAGUGUAGCGGUGAAAUGCUUAGAUAUUACGCAGAACGCCGAUUGCGAAGGCAGAUCACUAGACCGGAACUGACGCUGAGGCACGAAAGCGUGGGGAGCGAACAGGAUUAGAUA
This 279-nucleotide ribosomal RNA is filed under the name uncultured bacterium. RNAcentral describes it as "partial 16S ribosomal RNA". It matches the Rfam family "Bacterial small subunit ribosomal RNA", at positions 506 to 784 of the family's 1533-position model. The record is from RNAcentral.